UAUUUCACACGCUCCUUAACA
This is a non-coding RNA of Caenorhabditis elegans, 21 nucleotides long. NCBI's taxonomy places the organism in Eukaryota, Metazoa, Nematoda, Chromadorea, Rhabditida, Rhabditidae. The record is from Ensembl.